Molecule: long non-coding RNA, 1098 nt
Filed under: Mytilus galloprovincialis (Mediterranean mussel)
Lineage: Eukaryota; Metazoa; Mollusca; Bivalvia; Mytilida; Mytilidae
Source: RNAcentral
CAAUAUUUUAAGUGAAUACCUUUACAUGCGUUUUAUGUUUUAGAAUGGAUAUAGACAAUGGAAUUAUAUUCUUAGUGCAAAAAACGAAGAAAGUAAUGACGUUAUCAGUGAUUGUGUUGAUUCAAACUGUGGAUUAAUUUCAAAUGUGUGUUCAGAUAUAUUCGAUUUCAUUGUGGAUUACAAAGAUGAUAUUGUUAUCUGUAGCAGCUAAUAAUGGUAAGUUUUUUAAAUAUUAUUUUUGACAAUGCAGUCGUCUGCUAUUAGUUUCUUGUCUUCUCGGGUUUUAUUUCUUACAAGGUGAAUGAGUGACAAAAAAACCGUGAAUACAUGUUCACGUUCAAACCAUAUCGAGUGCACCGCAGUUUUUUUUUAUUUUCAAUUAUAAUAAUGAACAAAUGAAGAGAUAAAAACUAAAAGUUGCAAUCAUUUUGAAUUAUUUUGCUGUUCAUCAGAAUUAUUGAGAGACUGUUAUUGUUUUCAAAAACAGUACCAACUUAAUAUACCCCCUUUUUAGCUCACCUUUUCUCAUCACUUGAUGUCUGUCGUCUGUCAUCAGUCGUCCGUCAUUGUAGUCCCUCGUCUGGCAUCCAUUGUCAGGCAUCCCUCAUCUGUCGUCCGGCAUCCGUCGUCUUUCGUCAGGCAUCCGUCGUCUGUCGUCCAGCAUCUGUCAUCUGUCGUCCGGCAUCCGUCGUCUGUCAUCUGGCAUCCGUCGUUCGUAAAAUUUAACAAAAAUUGCCCCCAUUUUCCUCUAGGUUGUGAGUCCCAGAACGGGCCAUACAAGGCAUGUUAUUUUGAAGGUCCAUAUCGAGUGCACCUCAGUGUUUUAUUUUAUUUUGAAUAAUUAUUCACAAAUGAAGAGAUAACAACUACAAGUUGCAAUCAUUUUGAAUUCUUUUGCUGUUCAUCGGAAUUUUCGAGAGCCUGUUAAUGUUUUCAAAAACAGUACCAACUCGAUAUACCCCCUUUUUAGAUCACCUUUUCUCAUCACUUGGAGUCCGUCGUCUGUCAUCAGUCGUCUGUCAUUGUAGUCCCUCGUCUGGCGUCCGUUGUCAGGCAUCCGUCGUCUGUCGUCCGGCAUCCGUCGUCCGGCAUCCGUCG